RNAcentral lists this transfer RNA (71 nucleotides) under Ailuropoda melanoleuca (giant panda). It matches the Rfam family "tRNA". From Rfam's summary of the family: Transfer RNA (tRNA) molecules are approximately 80 nucleotides in length. The record is from Rfam by way of RNAcentral. Lineage: Eukaryota; Metazoa; Chordata; Mammalia; Carnivora; Ursidae.
GCCCAGCUGCUUGUUAGGAGAGCAUGUGACUCUUGAUCUUAGGGUUGUGAGUUCAAGUCCCACGUUGGGUA